UCUCCAUUCAAGAAGAACAAUUUUCUCUAGUCUUCUGACUAUUUAUAGAAAGACCUUUACAUGUGCAAACUAAUUAAUAAAUGGGAUCAAUUUCAAGGUAUUUUUUCUGGUUCAUCACCACUUAAUCAUUCAAUUUAAAAAACAUUUUAAAGGCCAAGUCUAAAAUAGAUUUGCACCCACGCCCCCAGUGUGAAUUUUUCA
RNAcentral lists this long non-coding RNA (201 nucleotides) under Homo sapiens (human). RNAcentral's name for it is "non-protein coding lnc-BORA-12:1". The record is from RNAcentral. Lineage: Eukaryota; Metazoa; Chordata; Mammalia; Primates; Hominidae.